AAAAAGGACAGAGAGGCAUGUAGAAAGCUCUCUACCACAUUUUCUUGUUGCUGACAAGGAAUGCAAGGGGGGACACACUGCGUGGAUUACAGUUUCUGAACCAGCCUCAUGUCUUCUCCUUGUGGCCAGGGCAGUGGCUUGGUGUCAAGGCAUCUCCAGGGGAAUUUUGCCUCCCAGCUGUCUUUUCUAAUAUGUGAGGACAUGACUCGGUUUCUGUGCUCAUCACAACUGCUUCCUCCAAGUGCUGCUGAUAUUACUCGGGGAAGUGAAUCUGAAGCUCUUCUCAACUCAAUGGGUCUUCAGUUUCACCAUCAUAUUUCUUGUGCUACAGGGACUACUAAAGAUGUAGGCUUCCAGCUGUGCCUGAAGUUGUUGGUGCUUUUAAAGGACUCUUUUCUCUGGACAAUGGUUAAUCUGGAUUAUAGAAAAUGUUCCAAAUGAGCAGAAGAAUCCAUAUCAGAUGAUGACAAAAGGAGGAACUAUGGCGGGGUGUAUGUGGGCCUCCCGUCGGACGCAGCCACCAUGGCUCCCAGUCAGACAAAAGCUGCACCCAAAGAUUAGAAAGAAAUAAAGACAUCAAGAUGCAAACAGCCCGAGUCUAUUAAGAACAGUUGCUAGUGCUUUUGGAGAAAGCUGUCUUUGUGCUGAAGAUUUUGAUAUUUACACAGCCUUCCGGAGAGCAAGAGAGAUCAGAGCACGAAAAAAUCUAAACUGUUGCAAGUUCCAACUAUGGGUAAAGCUUAAAGUACAGCGUUGAAUCAGUUUCCAAUGAUAGUUGCAUUAUGGAAACCUCCUGCUGUUCUCCAGUGAAAGAUGAAAUUAGUGAACUCAUGGUGGAUGUUUCUGCACAAGAGCUAACUUUGAUGAUCUGCAACUUAUUUCUCUGUGGCCAUAUUGCAGAUUCCAUCAGCUAUCAGCUAUGCUUUGUAUAUUUCCUUGAACAAGUUUGAUAGAUUUUAUAUAGAAAACCAUCACUACUGUCCACUCAAUAGUUUCUAUGGUAGGUUCCUGUAAAUUAAUUGUUAUUUUACUUCAGAGUAAUAUAUUUGACAAGUUUGCAUCUUUUUGGGAAUAUUGCAAAUUUUAAUAUUUUUGCUGUGAAAUAUUAAGAAUAGGAUGAAACAAGCUUAAGACCUUAACGUUCUUUAUAAUUAUUACUGUCCUUUUUAUACCAUGAGACAAAUAUUAGUGUUUAAUUUUCACCUUGUAAAAAGAUGUUGUUCAAGGAAAUUGAUUCAAAUAAGAACCGUAUACUUAAUUUUAUUAUUUACAUGUCUGUUUAUAGUUUACUUUAGCUAUAUCUCUUUUAUAUUACUGUACAUUCAUGACCAUUUUUAAAAUUAAAAGAAGACAGCAAACCAGAAAAUUUGGACAUGAAGAAAUAAGCCACCGUGAACCGUGAAAUUCCUGCCCUUUUCACUGACACCCAUUACUACCAACGAACUACCAUUGACUAUGAUUUCCAGUAACUUGCAGCUUUCACUUUUAUAUAGUGGUAAUUUGAUGUGAGGCUUGCAAAAAGAGAUAUUUAGAAGUAUUCCUUGUUUGUCCUCUUUUAAUUAUUUGUGACAUUAUUUAUUGCUAUUCUCUAGAAAUCUGCUACUUGGUUUAUCAAUGAUUUCAGGCUUCCAGCUCCUGAAGACAAACAUGCAUCUCAUUCUUAACCAUGCACCUCAAACUGAGAUGAAAUAAGCUUGAAGAUUAAGAUGUGGUGUUAAAAUAUCUCUCAGUAUGAAUGAAAGUCUGUAGAUUAUAUCUGCAGUGUCUUGUUCUUGCAAGCCAGACUGGUGAGGACUCAAGUAGCCCUGGGUGAUAAAUAUGCAGGCUUUUCUCCUACCUGCUUACCAUAGCAUGAGGGUAUAGUUUCCACUUCACAUGUUCCACAAAUGGCCAAAAUGGUUUGCACAAGUUUAUUUAGUACAGAGCAAUGCCUGACCUGAUUACAAUUGUCUUUCCCAAAGCAGAAAAAGCACCAGUCAUCCUAGGAUAUGUCAGCGUUCAGCUUGUGCUCAAAAAGCCAACAGCAGAUGCCAGUAAUCAACCCAGUUGUUUAUUCACUUCUAUCCUUCAGUUGCUGGGAAGAAUCAUCAUAAAGGUGCACAGGGCUAAACUCGAACAUCACUUGUUCUGCUACUGACAUCUGAAGCCCCAUGUGUGGGCAGAGGGAAGAAAGAGGUGAUUGCUGAUAAACAGCUCCUUGCAGCUGGUGGUGGGACAGUUGCAAGGGGUAUUUUCCUUGGUUCACAUCAUUGCUUGUUUUUCCUCUGCAGAGCUACAGAGAAGCUUGGAGCACUUUGCAGAAUUGGUCUUUUAAUGUUUCAUCCUCUGAAUGUGUGGGAGGUACAGUGGUUUCUUAAUAUUUUUGUUCCUCUGCAUCCAAAAGUUUACUGACCAACUGACAAAUGUGCAGUAUCAUAGACUGGAACCUCUAAAAUAGAUGUACAUUCAUUUGUGCUAUGCAGGCCUGUGCCAUCAAACUAAAGAGCUAGGGCCAAGCCCUUGUCUUCAAUUUGCAGAUUCUUGCCUUUUGUUUUCCCAAAGAUCCAUGAAUCUAGAAACUGUGUUACAGGAUGCUGUAUUCUGUCCUGGCCAAAUUCUGAUUUUCUGCUCAUGAAAAGUCCUCUAUGGUGAGCAGCCUUUGUUAAUAAAAGCACAUGUCAUUUCAUGGAGAGAGUAUCUGCUCUUUCAAAACUUACGAUCUAUGGAUAUUUCUGGUAGGAGGAGGAACAGAAAAGAAACCCUAUAUGCCAGCUGCCAGCUGUGCAUGUGACGGCAUCCUUGGAGAAUAUUUAGGCACUCAAAAGAUGGUUCAGUGGGAGAACUGAGAACAGGACACAAGGAACCAUUGAAUGACAGAGUUAUUAUUAAGAAAUAUACUUUGGUUUUGUUGAAACAUCUUGAAUUACCAUUUGUGAAAAAUAAACAUUUAAAUGUUGGGGCUGUAAUACCAUUUUCCUUGCAGUGGUUACUGUUUCUCCAGCCAGAGAUGAGGAGCCAGUGGAAGUAAUUCAGCAAAGAGUUGAUUUGGGCUUUAUAAUCUCAGAAUCUCUGAUCUGAAAUUCUUUGGCAGCCCAGAAAUACUAUGCUUGAAUUCGUGAAUCUUGAAAAAUUCAGGGGUAGGAAAACCUAAGAUUAAAACAACAGUUUGUGACCAGCUGAAAAACACUAGAAAUAUCUUAUAUUGCAAAUUUUGGUCUCGUGCAAACCAUAUCACCUCAAAGCUUCUCUUUUGUAUCAUGCUAAUGAGACAGUGCAUUUAUUUUGCUUUCUACUUAAUGCAGGAGCUUUGGUAUAAGUGCCGAACCUCUCAGUUUCUGGGUAGUCCAGACAGAAAUACUGCCUGUGUUUUAUGUGCCAUACACAUCUUAGUGUAGUUCAGAUGAUGUGACAAUUCUAAGCCUCUGUGUUGCUCAAGGGUUAAAUCUUGUCACUAAGAGAGUUGCAGAAGACCUGGUAAAAGCCACUGUAAGCUCAGUUAUAACUUCAUUUGCUAGAAAUUAAAUCCUUUCCUAGCAAAGAGUCCACACAAGGCUGAAGCUGCAGAAAAUCAUAGAGGUGAAAUUUAUCUCUAAUGAAAACAAAGUACUAAUUUACUUGUUUUCAUCCUGCAUGUCCAACAGAGGAGACUGCUGUAUGGCACUAUGGUUGAAAUGGCAUCACUAUUCCCUGUCACCCACACAAGUCUAGCAAUUCUCAAUAAUCAUGCUUCCCAAGCAGUCAGUGAGUCACUGCUGAUCUGUUUUCUGCAAAGUAGACCUCUGUUUGGUUCCCAUGGUGAUCAGAAGUGACAAUUAUUAUGGGCUGCUACUACAGUUUCUCAGCUGUGUGUGCCCUCUGAAAGAAGCUCUUACCUGUUUAUAGUCCCUGGGUGUUUUGCAGUGCAUCAUCAUUGCUUCAUACUGACAGCAAUUUAAAUGCUUCAGGUGAAUUGACUUUGUGAAAACAGGCUGAAGGAGGAAGAUUUGGGCAGUAUUUUUGUUUUGCAAUGUAUUUAGAACAAGAUGAAGAAAAUAACAACUCUGUAAACUUUCCAUAGAGCAAUGGUGUUCCAGUAUUGCAGGAAAUCUUUUGAGGCUGGGCUAAAUGACUCAGCCCUUGUUUUAAAGACAAUCAAGCACAGAACUUAGGUUUAUCACAAUAGGAGCUACUUCAUUUUACCUCAUCUGACAAUUUUUGCUGAAACUCAGGAGUUUUCAAACACAGAAGAAUUUCCCAGACAGCAGAAAUCUGUCACCCCUGUUGUGGGAUCUUCUGUGUACUGGUCACUAUCUGGUCACUAUUAAAAUACUUAUAGCUGAAGAUAGGACUCAGCUCAUGAACCAGAUCAUUCUGUGAAGUGCAGUGAAACUCUCAUUAGCAUAACUGUACUGAGAAAAGUACCACAGGAUGAAGCCUGGGUAAAAGUGGGCUUUGUGUGCCAGAAAGGAGAAAACACAUAGGAGAACAGGAGAAUGGGGAUUAUUAUGCAGUGAAGACAGAUGUAGAAAUAGGUUAGGAACAGAAAAUUAUGUAAAAAAGGAAAUACCUUAAUUAAGUAUUCACUCCAUUUCUCUGUGAUUCUAAUCUCUAGAAAAUAGAGCAAGAAGUAGACAGCUGCCAAAUUGUUUUAAGACUGAAGAGAAAUGUGAGUUUGCUUAUCAGGUCAUUCCAACCCUCAGAUCUCUGAGACUGCAAACUUUAAGGAAAUAACUUGUCUCAUUUUUAUUUGCUUAAAGUCCAGUGUAAUGAGCCCAUGCACCUUAAAGGUCCUUUUGGGUGUUACCAGGAUAUAUAAAUAUCCUGCUGUCUCUUUCAAAAUUUCUUUUGGCAUUUCCUUAGUUUAUGUCUCUAUGCAGACUGUGAAAAUACUCAAGAUGUAAAAACAAUUAACAGGAUUAAUAUAAGAAUAGAUUACAGAACAUGCAAAAAGGAAGCCAAUGUUUCAUCUGAAAAACAGUGUAGAGAUAGAACUUUAACUUUGGUUUAGUUAUGCCAUGUAUUUUAGAUUUAUGAUAUAACUAACGAAUCACUGUGCAAGUGAUUCAUUUGGGUCACAGCACCUUAUUGGUACUCUAGAAUUUUGUUUGGUACUCACAGAAUUUUGUUUCUAGUCUUUGAUUCAGACUAGAUUCUAGCAUUCAUCCUAUGUUACAGGAGAUGGCACUAAUGUGAAAUACUAAAUGCCACUCUUCACCUUUGUUGCCCACCUCUUGUGUUGUCUGAAUCUCAGUGUUGUCUGCAGGAUGGCUUCGUCUCCAAAAAAAGCUGAGGUUGUGAUUCAGAAUGACAGUUAAUUAGAAGAAAGUCAUAUUUGAUAACAGUUUUAUGGGGGAUACCAGACUGCUAGAAAGUGCAAGACUUCAUUGCCAUUAGGGAGGUAGUCAAACUUUGGAGAGUCCACACUGUGUCACUAUCAAACUUGACUUGGCAGUUUGCAAUAUAAAACCACACACAUAAAUAAACAAAAUCUGGGAGGUAACACACACUUUCAAGCUUAUAUCUAAUAUCAUGUUUAUGGUUAUGUAUUACUGGAGUCUGACUGUAACCUUGAGCUGUGAAUAUUUACCUAAACUACAGCUAGGUUUGCCUUCCCCAAAGGAUAUUGCUAUGAGGAAGCCUUGGAAGGACUCCCACUGCCUGGUUUGUUUGUAGGAGCCUCACAUGGUUAUGGGAAAUCAACCAAUAGAGUUUCUCUAAAAUUAAAAUAUUUAAUCAGAUUAUAAUGUAUAAAUAAUAUCAACUUGAUCAAACUCCAAGUACCUGGUUAUUAAAACAAUGUACUUAUUAUUUGAAGUCUCACAUGAAAUCAGCUGCCUGCUUCUUUUUCCUCUUCCAAAUUGUGAGUUACCUUAAUAAAUAAAUAAAUAAAUUCUUUUGGCUUUACAUGGAACUGCUUCAGAUCAUCAGAUAGAACCAAACCAUUUUUGGCAGGGAAUUAAUUUCUAAUAAGGAAACUGUGCCAGCCAGGAAAGACAGAGGGCUUUUAAAUUCAAAAUUAUUUUAAUAGGAUGAAUAGUAGUUGGAGAAUUUACACAGGACUGUUAAAGAGCCUUUGUUUAAGAAAUUAUUGCUUGUGUAAGCAUUGCUUCUUGAGAAACCCAAGAUUUCCAGUGAAAAGAACCCUGAAAAUCACCACUUGAAAAAUAAGUUUUGAUUUAUGAUAAUAUUUUCUCAAGAGCAGAAUUGUGUUUUUCUCCUUGAAUUUCAAGAGGAAGCCAAAUUCUCAUUGGAGCCAGUGAGUAAACAGUCUACCUUUCCUUGCCUGCAAACAAUCACAGAUAAUUCUCAUUCAGAGGUACAAGAAAAAACAUAACUGGUUUUAGGAACAUAUAUGUUCAUACACUUGAAAUAAAUCCAAAUCUUUAACAAACUGGUGUAGAUUAGACUAGAUUUCAUGCUCUUCCUUUCAAGUAUUAUCAUUAAAACAUGAUACUUCUUUUUUUUUUUUUUUUUCUUUUUGGUUGAAAUAAUCCCAGCAAAAAUAUUUCUUCCUUGUGAGUUGCAAGAACAUGUAAUUCUUUAUAAUUUGCAGCACUUCUUGCACUAUUUCUUUUUUUUUACCUAGAGUUCAACUUCUGGCAUAAAAAACCUCUGCCACAGACUAUGUUUUCCCGAUGGGCUAUGCUCACACCUGUGCUCAGCUGAGCAUUCCAAGUUGGUGCUGCUGGAGAUUUUAUCCUGAACGCUUCACUACUCAGCUGUCUGUCUCAACUUCAGUUGAAACAGGGACAGUGUUGUUUGAUCAUUCUGCAGGAGGAACAUUUACUGCAUGUAUGACUGUGUCAUCUGGAGAUUUGUACUGGCACAGUUUGAGGAGUCUUCAUUAUCCAUGAGGAUAUUGAAACCUCAUCUUGGCUCCUGCAUGACACCUACUUGAAAUGGUUUAGCCCCAACCAGCAACUAAGGCCCACAAAGCCACUCUCUCACUCCUCCCAGGUGGGAUGGGAGAGAAAACUGGAAAAGUGAGAUAACUCAUGGACUGAGAUAAAGCAAAAGCUUCACACACAACCAAAACAAAUAAGGAAUUAAUUCACCACUUCCCAUGGGCAGGCAGGUGUUCAACAAUCUCGAGGAAAGCAGGGCUGUGGCACACCUAACACUGACUUGGGAAGACGAACACCAUCACUCUGAAAGUCCUCCCCCUUCAUUCUUCUUCCCCCAGCUUUAUAUGCAGGUAUGGAAUGUCCCUUGCAUCACUGGGGGUGAGCUAUCCUGCCUGAGUCCCCACCCAGCCUCUUGUGAGCCAUCAGUCCACUUGCUGGUGGGAUGGUAAGAGGCAGAGAUGGCCUUGAUUCUAUGCGAGCCCUGCUCAGCAAUAAUGAAAACAUCCCUGAAUUACUAACUCUGUUCCCAGCAAAAAUCCACAAAAACACAGCCUCACAGAGUAGCCUGAGCUACUCUGAAGGAAAUAAACUCUUAACCCAGCCAACAGCAGCAAGCUCCUUCAAAUUUUGUGUUACAAAGUUGGAAGGCACAAAAUGGUGGGAAAGUGUCUCCAUCACAUUUCAGUUUGUGCAGUGAUGUGCAGAACAAGAGUAAGCACUACUGGUAAAUUAGUUGGAUGGAUGACUUGGCCACACUUCAGUCUCUUCGGAGUGGCUUGAAAUGGUGACAAAAGGAGCAACAUAAGUAAUCAGUAUCACAAAUACCUGUAUUAAACAUUGCAAAUGCUAGUGGUAUCUGGUGUUCUGUCCUGUGAAAAUUUCACUUGCAUGCCCCUGUAGGUGGUAAAGGAAAUUACUCCUGGUAGAGUUUUUACCCUAAAAAUUAAUUCUUCAGAGUGGCUGAUCAGUUUUCUUGCCUAGGUCAUGGGGUCUGGCUGAUGUACACAGGGUGUAGCUCUUCAUAAUCCGGAACCUCCGCUCUGCAGCCUGCCAGUUUUGUCACAUAGUCACAUUUGUCACUGUAGUGCACCUCCAUGCUGUCUGCCCAUGUGAAUAGUCACAGUGGCCUGGAGAAAGAGCUGGUUGACUGCUGAGGUAGAAGGACACAUCCAUGGCAUACUCCCUCUGUUGAUCCCACUGUCUCUUUGUUGCUCUCAGUGAGGUAUGGCAGCUACACAUCAACCAAGGGAGCAACCACAUGCUGGUGAUCAUCCCUAGGCCAGCUGCGUCCCCACCCAGGACAGCAGGCCAGCACAAACACUGCUGUGCUGGAGAGGCUGGGCUGGUCUUUGGCUGGCCAAAGUCUUAAGCAAUGCUGGUGUUUGUUUUUCUGCCACCCUUGCUCUCUUAGCAGCAGAACCCAAGAAACUGCACUGACUUUCCUUUUAUGUGCCUCCUGGACAAGCCUCAUGUUCAGAGCUGUGCUGGUGACAAUCAAAUUAAUCAUCAUCCCAUCAUCCAUUGUACAUUGCUAGGCUCUCCCAGCAGUCUCCGAGUCUUAUCCCAGGCUGUAGGCUGAAUAAAUCCUUGACCAAAGUAGGUCAGCAAACCAUGCCUGGCCUCGAGAAACAGUUUGAUCAAGGACAGCAAAUUUCUCACUAUUGUUCUUAAGAAUUUUCUUCAAAAGUAAUAAUUUUCUUUCAAAUGGGAAAGAGCUUUACAGACGUGGAUGGCAAUGAAAGCUCCCUGAAGCUUGGAUCCUCUGCCAGUACUUUACAGAAAAAGUGUUCUGAUCUGAUAAGAGAGAAUCCCAAAGCAGGGGAUUUACAAAAGAAAAAAAUUAAAAAUGCGUAAGGAAUCCUUUGUAAUGAACCUUCAUACACCUCUGGCAUUCUCAUUUCUGUAACAUUCAAUUGCUCGUUCCUUAAAAGCAGACAAUAUCUGAAGCUUUGUUUCCAUAAUAUCUAUACAUGUAAUUUUAGCGGCUAAAAAUGUACCUUUUUUCAAAAUAGUUAUUUCAAAUUUUGAAAAAAGUUGCUCUAUGUCUACUAUCCCGAUUCCCAAAUGUAUCCAAAUUCCCAAAUUUCCCAAAUUAAUUAACCAAUCACUUCAAAGCAUCUGGUCCUUCAUUUUUCACUUUAUGGUUUCAUUUUAAUAGAUAGACUCAAGUGCUGGUUUUAAAAUGAGGGGUUAUGAAAUUUUACAAAAUAUUUAGCAAUGAGAACGCUAACAGUACUACUUUUCACUUUGGCACUGCCUGCGACAAAGUUAUAGUUUGUGGAUAUAACUUAAAAAUCAAAUUAUUUUAAAUAACUUUGCCUCUAAAGGAGCUUUUAGAUUAAGCCCCAAAGAUUAGAGUAUAUAAAAAUGAGGCAUCUGGGCUACUUCAGAUUGUCCUCUAAGCCAUAAAAAUAUAUCUCUGAGGUUUUUUCUAUAGAGAAAUUCUUGCUGUUGUCCAGUGAUUCAUUAGAGCUCUGGUCUAGCCUCUCUACAGAUGUUACUAUUAUUCUGCAAUGAAAAAAGGCAAGCAGCCAUUUCUGGUCACUCUGUAAAGUCUUGAAAGCAAUAUAGCUUAAAAUAAAUGUUUGUAUCCUGCGGUGUUCUUUUGACCCCCAAUGCACUUUAGGCACUACUAAACUAUAAAUAAGAUCAAAAGAUUCACUCUCUCAUGCCCAGAAAAUUUGAAGAAUACCAAAAUUAGGCUUCCUGAUAUAUUUCUAUUAGGACACAUUUUUUGACAACGUGAUCAAUAUUAUUUUUAUGCUACAAUAGAUUAACCUAAUUGGAUAUUUAUGGAAAAGUAUAUUUUCUCUUGGAAUUUUGCCAAUGCUUGUUUAUUCAUUUUAUAAUUAUUUUAUCCUUGCUUUGGGCCAAUUUGUUGCCCGGGAUUAUGCUUUCCUUGCCUGUGUGCAAGUUUGAUAAUAAAAAUUCAAUUGUUUAUGUCCUUUCUUAUUUUUGGACUACUGAAAGCUGGUUCUUUAUUAACAAAAUAUGGAUAAUUAAUGAGGGCAACAUCUCAUAUUGUCAGUUGCUAUCUAAAAUGCAAAUCUUGAAAAUGUCAAAUCUUCAGAUUGCUAUAACUCAAAUUAUUUUGUUUUGCCGUUACUGAAAUUUACUGGGAACUCAAAAGCUUCCAUCAUCCUGCUGAAUGGGUUAAAAUAAACUUCAAGAGAAAAAGAAGGGUGGUACCCUUUCUGCUUCCUGAAAACUCAUGUAGGUAGAGCAAGGGAAAGCUGAGCAGAGUUUGUACCCAUGAUGUUGUCUGUGAGGCUCUUGGGACCACCAUCAAGGCUAGGAGUCCACACAGGGCCAGAAGGCAGCCUUGGGAGAGUACCUGGAAGGGGAUUGUCCUUGGAUUGCUGUGCCCGGUGCCGCUCAGACACAAGCGUCCCUUUCCAUGGUAAGGACACCCAGGGCUCAUCGCAGCCCAGGCACGCCGUUCUUCCCCCGAAAGCGCAGCAGGCGCAGCGCCGCUGCCCAGCAGAGAGCAGCGUUGCUCCACAGCGAGCGCUGCCGGCGCCAUCCCGGCCGCUGGAAGCGGCUCCCGCAACGCCGCGCAGGCCUUGGACCCAGGGCCGGCUGCGGGGUAAUGGCCACACGGAGGGAACAGCGAUUUUCCCCGUGCGGCCCGGGAGGACAAGGAGCUACAAAAUCACCGCAUUGAGAGUAUUUAAUGGGGAAAAAAACCAAACUUGAAUGAAAAGCUUUUGGUCUGUGGAGGUCAGAGGUUCUUUAUUCUAGGGUGCUCCUAAGCAUGAGAAAAAUUUGAGUUCUUUAGAUCAGAUGCUUUCCAUGAGAAGUUUUAAAAUUUCUGGUCCUGCAAGCUGUGAGAGGUGCCAGGGUCAGUGCCAUCAGAGGUGAAAGUUGCCUACAAAUGGAACUGAGCCCAGCUGGGGUCUGGCCCACACACACUGGCAUCAUCUUCACCUUGGUCUUUGCCAGCCUUUGGAAGCUUCUGAGACCAUGUGGUUUGUCAGGAAUGAGUCUGAGCUGGACCUGCUUGAAGCCAGCUGCUGAUCCCACAGGCUGUGAGCUGGCAAAAUUCCUUUUCCCAAGGGCCCCGUGAGGUAUGUUCAGUGUACACUGAAUGUUUCCUCAGAGCCCAUGAUUCCGUCUCCUCCAAGGACUGAACUGUCUGGCAGAGUUUUGGUUUUGCUGUGGAGGGCAAAGCAAGAGCUGGGUGCUGGGGCAGGGCUGGUCCUUUGGAGCAGCCUCCCAGCAUCAGAAGGGGUCAGCCCCAAGGCUGUGCGUGUGCUUGGUGCUGGAGGUGCCUCUCCACCCUUAGCUACCUUGCAGUGGCAGUUCAUUUCUCAUGGACAAUCACUUCAAGCUUAUUCUUCAUUUGGGCUGGGUUUGAAAUGGCAUCUGGAAGGAAAGAAACCCAAUGUCCUUGUCCCUCUGCCCCACAGAGCUUUCCUUGGUGGGCCCAGGAAUGUUCCUCCUUCUGACACUUCCCAUUACCUCUGACCUUUAGUUUCUUUAAGAAGCUGUGCUAUUUCAGUCAGUUUUCCAUACAUAUUUAGUUAUGUUAGGAAAAAUACUUUUGCCAGCAGGAGGAUUCCACAGUCCAACACAGAAAAGGCAUUAAUGUAAUUACUUGGGGUGAUAUUUUCAUAGUAAUAAAAAAAGAAUUCCAGAGAAGGAUUAUUUCUACAUCAGCACAGACUAAGUGCAGAGUAUGUAAUUUGUCUCGGUGUAUUUUACAGCUGUGGAGGGUAGUGGAUGACCAGGUUUACAGAGAUUCUCUGGGCCUGUUUCAGUGCAGGGAGAGAUGUGUCACAGCUAAGCCUUCCCCAGCACUUCAGAGACAUUUCUGGAUCAUGUGCUGCCAGUCCCAGGCUCUAUUCCAGUUUCUCUUUGAGUGAUUUGUGCGUAAUGAGUACAAGACAUCCCAGGGCACUUUCGGCACUUGUCAUUACUCACUCACAUUAUUCCAUCUGUCCUCAUGUUGUGCAGGGCUUGACUUCAAGGGCUUUUUCAAUGCACCAAGAAACCCAGAGGUACAACACAAACAGCCCUGCUAGAGGAAAAUGCCAUGGCCUUGAUUCUCCCGCAGGGCUGAGACAGGGAGAGAAGAACAGGAUUUAGCUGUGCUGCCCAGUGGUACAUUAGAGGAUGUGUAGAUACCUUUGAUUUUUUGUACCUGUGUAGGAUGAAUAAAAUCAGGCAGAUGAAUGAACAUGCCCUUGUUCUGAAGAAAAGUGGACGAAAUGUGGUAACUCAUGUCCAAGGCCAAGCCUGAGAGAAAAAUAAAUUUUCCCAUGUGUUGAAAUGUGGACCCUGCAGAACUUGUCCCACACCCAUGCAGAGCUACUGGGCUGGCUGCGAACACAGUGAGAGCAGAAUUGGUCCUGCAUUUGCUGUGCACACAAGUGGCUGAUUUCUCUGGGGACAGAGCACUGCAGGGAAUGCCCAGUGUCCUCUGAGCUUGUGUUUCUGCCAUUGUUUGCUGUCUAACCAGAUGUAAAAACUGCUUGGAUGUUUUCCCAGUCAUUGGUAAUAGUUGUAUCCCAUGGAGAACUCUACCGUCUAAUGGAGGAAGGGCUUCUGCCAUAUCUUCAGAGGGAGAACAGGGAAGGAGGAUUAAAAAAAUCUUUCACUGACAUAGGAAUGAUAUGAUCCCAAAUGACUCUUAGCCUUAAAAGGCACUUCAAGAGUUUUUUUCCUCAGUAGUCAUGUGUAAAUGUAAUUUUUUUUUUCUACAGCAGCCUUGGGGGAAAAAACAAAGACUGUCUGCGCAGUAACUGAGCCUGUACCAUGUAAGCUACUGCACUCUUUAAAAUCUCAUUAGAUUUUAGAGAUAAUAACUCUGGUGCCAUGACAGUGAUAAUUUCUCUGCUGACAGGCUGAACACUCCAGCAGUAGCUCAGCUGUAACUCCUGGAAUUAGGAAUUCCUGCUGAGAUCCAGUGGCCAUACCCCAGGCUGUGUCCCUACAUCUUCCUGCCAUUUGGCUGAUGUGGUGUCCUCCUCCUGCCAACGCUCUGACUGUAAGAAUGGAGCACUAUUACUCCUGAAAUAGCUGAGACCUGUUGUACAGCCCAGUAAAGUUGCUGAAGCAUUUAUUUUGGAUUUCAAAAGGUUUGGCUCUAGGCAUCGGCAGCAUUGCUCUUGCUCAACAGGAAACUGGAAGAAAACUUUGGUAAAUCAGCCAAACUAAUAUUCUGCAGGGUAAUCAUAGCUGCUCAAAACCAAGAUUAGGUGUGAAACAGGAAGUGUGUAAAAGAUUACCUACCAUUAUUUUUAAAAGCUUUAUCUGAAAUUAUCCAAGCUACCUCAGCCAUGCUUUAACUUGGUGAAAUAGAUGUGUCUGUCUUUCUAUGUGUAUAUGGGCUUUACACUAAAAUUCAGGAAGCAUCAAAUUUCAGCUUUCAUCUUGUGGCAUCUCAGCUUGAUGCACAGGCAAGGUAGCUGCCAAGAGCAGAAGUUGCCUUAGGCCUUCCUUUGCUAAUUUCAAACUCCUGGAGAGCUGAGCCUGGUGCUCAGGAGGAGAUGGAAGUGACCAUAAGCUAGCACUGCUUGCCUAAGACACAAAGAUCUUUCAUAGCAGCAGAUCUUGCCCUUGCUCCUGCCAGUCCCUCUGACUUUCCAUGCUGCUGUUCCUUUGCUCCUUGCUGUGUUCCUUGCUGCUGUGUGUCACCUGCCUGGCCGCAUCCUUGAGCUGAUGGAUUCUCUUGCUGCCUACUCUUCUGAAAGGUCCAGAGCUGCUGCACCUGCGCCCAGGCUCCGCUUUGAUGGCUUCACCAGUUCUGCCUGGCUGUGCUGUUCUCAGAGGUCACUGACACAUAGACAUCUAAAUUAGCUUGAAACUUGUGCUGAAUGUCCUUAAAAUAAAGCAAAGCCACUAGAAACUGUAUGCCAUUUCCUGAAAGCAGCUGGUUCUUGUUUCCUUCAGAGAAAGGAUGCUGAAGCAGAACUGAGACUUUGCAUGGCUAUUCAUGCAUUGGUGUUGUUCCGAAAAAUAAUGUGAGCACAUUAGAGUGGAGCUAACCUGCCAAAAUCUUGGUAAAGGGGGAUCACCCUGCAUUUCAGUCAUAACUUGGAAUAAAGGUUCUAAAGGUUUCUUGACUGCUGUCUAAUGUUGUGCUGUUCUUUCAGUAAAAAAACUGCUCCUACUGUCUUUCAUUCAUCACAUUUAUGUGAUAUUUUGUACAAAGAGUUCUUUAAAAACCUUCAAUAUGCUAAAUGGGAGAGAUUGACAGUCAGGAAAGGGUGUGUAACGUAAAACCUGGGGAAAUGAAUUAAUUAGUAUGCAAGUGAAUGAUGUAAUUUUGUUGAUAUUAAAUUAAUUGAUUAAAAGGCC
Molecule: RNA transcript, 14105 nt
Organism: Motacilla alba alba
Lineage: Eukaryota; Metazoa; Chordata; Aves; Passeriformes; Motacillidae
Gene: C1AH12orf75
Gene name: chromosome 1A C12orf75 homolog
Exons: 11
Source: RefSeq, a predicted model, not a curated record